UACGGGGGGAGCAAGCGUUGUUCGGAUUUACUGGGCGUAAAGGGCGCGUAGGCGGUCAGUGCAAGUCAGUUGUGAAAUCUCCGAGCUUAACUCGGAAAGGUCAACUGAUACUGCUCGACUAGAGUGCGGAAGGGGCAACUGGAAUUCUUGGUGUAGCGGUGAAAUGCGUAGAUAUCAAGAGGAACACCUGCGGCGAAGGCGGGUUGCUGGGCCGACACUGACGCUGAUGCGCGAAAGCGUGGGGAGCGAACAGG
Molecule: ribosomal RNA, 254 nt
Filed under: uncultured bacterium
Lineage: Bacteria
Description: partial 16S ribosomal RNA
Rfam family: Bacterial small subunit ribosomal RNA
Source: RNAcentral